GGUUGGUCAUGGCGUCGUGCACGCAGACCCGCAGCUCCCGUUGGCAUGGCCUGGUAGUCGUUGUCGUGGUCUUGGAUGACGGUGGUUCACCAUCUUGCUUCCAGCGCUGACGAGACAAUGGGUUUGUCGCCAGUAAUCUCAGCGUCGGCUCCCACGACUGCCUCCUCGGCUACCACUACUUAGGUGAGUCGCUGGUCUCUCCUUUCUCCUGUCUGUUCUGGAAUCUAGCCUUCGUGCUAUGGCCGUACUUUGCAGUUAUUUCAUUGCAUAUCUGGUAGUUUCAAACAUCGUGCAGUAUGUGCCAAUCUCUUCCGCCUCAAUUUUAUUGGCAUGAAAGAAUAAUUUGAUAGCUUUGAUUCAUUUGAUCAAUUAGACCUCUGUUGUCAAAUAGAACAGUGUGCACUUAGUUAAGUUUCUAAUAUUGCUGCUGCCCUUUUGGUUUAGGAUAUUUUUGGGUCCAUUGAGUUUAUAUGAUCUUUUGACAGUCUGGCGCAGUGGAGAGAAUCUGCCAAGAGGUCCUGGGUUCGGCGCAGUCCCUCUGCAUUGCACUGUCCAGGGGUAAGGCUUGCCUCGUAUGACUCCAUUGGCUUAAGGCGUCCGGAAUCGGGCGCUAUGGCGGCUGGUGAGGAGGUGGCUGCGGGGUGAAGUUUCCAGAAAAUGUAGCUGAUUCUUUGAGGUCAUCCAACCUUCUACAACCUCGGCUUCUCAACCGCCGCAGUGGGGGCCACCUCUUCCUUGGUUCAGGUGAGUCCUUGGUCUCUUUCUCUCUGAGAUUGUACAGCCGUCGAGUUUGGUAGACUGUUGUGCUGGCCAUGGAGCUGAUGAUUUUGUGUUUGGAUUUGAGGUGGUGGUCUUCCGGCCACCACAAUCUUGUGAUUGUGAUAUGAUAAAUCUUGUUGGUCGAUGAGGUUAGGCCCCUUUUCUACUGCACGGUGCUGUUGCUACAGGGUUGAUAAUGGUCCAUGUUUAGUUUAAUAGGAUCAAAAUGAUAUGGUUUUAACUUGUUAAUGGAUAUCACAUAGUCCCUCUGUGUAGGGCUGUAGGCAUUGACGGUCACGGUCCAUUGUGCUGGUGACUAGCGUUUUAUAUUUUGGAGUUAUUUACCUAAAACCACCACACUUGAGGCUAGGGAAACAGGUCGAAACAGCGGAUUUGACCGGUUGGCCCCACCUGCCAGGCCGAUGUGGCAUGUCGGCAUGUACAAAUUGCUGAGGUGGACGCGGGUCCAACUGUAGCCCCCACCUACUUCUUCCUCC
Molecule: long non-coding RNA, 1256 nt
Filed under: Hordeum vulgare
Lineage: Eukaryota; Viridiplantae; Streptophyta; Magnoliopsida; Poales; Poaceae
Description: long non-coding RNA (HVUL_LNC018468)
Source: RNAcentral